UUCCCUACGGGAGGCAGCAGUGGGGAAUAUUGGGCAAUGGGCGCAAGCCUGACCCAGCAACGCCGCGUGAAGGAAGAAGGCUUUCGGGUUGUAAAGUUCUUUAAUUGGGGACGAAAAAAAUGACGGUACCCAAGGAAUAAGCCCCGGCUAACUACGUGCCAGCAGCCGCGGUAAUACGUAGGGGGCAAGCGUUGUUCGGAAUGACUGGGCGUAAAGGGUGUGUAGGCGGUGUAGCAAGUUAGAAGUGAAAUACCUAGAGCUUAACUCAGGGGCUGCUUCUAAAACUGCUAUACUUGAGUGCAGUA
Molecule: ribosomal RNA, 305 nt
Filed under: uncultured bacterium
Lineage: Bacteria
Description: bacterial SSU rRNA
Rfam family: Bacterial small subunit ribosomal RNA
Source: RNAcentral